AGAGGCAGAAGUGAAGGUGCCGGCAAGCAAAGCUUGGGCUCUCUUUAGCUCUCUUGAGCUUGGAAACCUUCCCAUCGGAAAAAUCUUUGAAGGAAUUGACAUCGUUGAAGGUGAUGGAGGGCCGGGUACCAUUCUUAAGCUUACCUUCAAGCCCGGGUUAGGAUUCUCAUAUUGCAAAGAGAAGUUCACAAAGGUUGAUCAUGCAAAUAUGGUUAAAGAAAGCCAAGUAGUUGAAGGAGGGAUUCUUGAUUUCGGAUUAAAUUUAUAUCGGAUAAGGGUUGAGAUCAAAGAGAACCCAAAAGACGGGUCGGGCUCAACAAGUGUUAUGAAACUAACAAUCGAAUAUGACAUUAAGGAAGACUUUGCUGCUAAUGCUUCUUUUAUCACCACCGAGCCACUCCUUGCCAUCAUGAACGUUGCAAAGGAGCAUCUUUUGAAAUCUAAUUAACACGGGAAAUGUUUAUUAUCAUAUUAUUAUUAUGAUAGUGUUAUUAAUAAGAAUAAACUCGUAUUACUUUUAUGUA
Molecule: RNA transcript, 524 nt
Organism: Helianthus annuus (common sunflower)
Lineage: Eukaryota; Viridiplantae; Streptophyta; Magnoliopsida; Asterales; Asteraceae
Exons: 2
Source: RefSeq, a predicted model, not a curated record